Molecule: long non-coding RNA, 2651 nt
Filed under: Nicotiana tabacum (common tobacco)
Lineage: Eukaryota; Viridiplantae; Streptophyta; Magnoliopsida; Solanales; Solanaceae
Description: long non-coding RNA (NTAB_LNC006279)
Source: RNAcentral
GGGUUAAUAAAUGAUCAAAUCAACUAAGUAAAAGAAGCGUCAAAAGUUCUCCAUGUUGCAAAGAGGGAUUUAGCAUAAAUAUUUGUAAAACUCUAAGCAGCUUAUCUAUGUUGGUUAAACUUACGAAUUCGCUAAAAUUAAACUACUGUUAUUAAAGAUUGACUUGAAAGUUGAAGGAUGGUUUGUUCGAAAUCCAUAAAAAAAACUUAGUUUGAAGAAAACAGUCUAUGAUUUAAAAUGCAAUACAGCCAUAGUUACUUUUUGAAAUACUUACCAAGAUCUCGGACGAUUCCAAAUAGUUCACGAGUUAGAAAGUAGAUUUAAUGAAAAGGUUUCAAAUCUUCAUAAGUUCACAUUUUUGGCCUUUAAUCUAUAGAUCGAAUCCUAUGGGAUAAAUGGGUACUAUAUUGGCUAGCAGAAAAAUACAAAUAAUUAAAAAAGCUAAUUAUCAAACCCAUGCUCAACAUGAGAUAAACACAGACAAAUAAAUCAUCUGUGAUCAAGAAGUUAGACAAAACGAAUGUAAAAGAAAAAUAUAAGAAAGACGCCAUAGGCGCCCCCACGCGUUUUGCUUGUUUUCUUGCUAUCCGGUGCAUUCUAAGGAAGAUGACAUGUAAUGUGGACUCCAUGUGGUGGUGGUGGUAGUGUUGAGUCUUAAUGAAACUCCACUGCAAGAGUCGCGAAUUAAGACUCUGUUUGCUCCAAAGUGUACAUACAAAGAAAAGAGAAUAAAACAAGAAUUAGAAGGGGGAUUCGGUUCUUAAGCGUGCAUAAAGAAAUCAGGAUAAACGAAAACCAAAACAAACAAAACUACACAAUUAUUCAAAUUGUUACAACUGGUGAACCAUACUUCGCAAUUCUAUACCAACAGAAUUCACAUCUUUUCCUUUUCAAAGUGCAAAUAGACUCUUUAUGUUAAGUACUAUUCUUGUUUAAAGUUUCCUCAAUCAAUGGUAACAAAAUUUACUACAUAAACUGAAAAGGACAUAUCUUAAUGAUGAAAAGAAAAGAUAUAGGCCUGCCUUCUAUUACUGAUACAAAAGCACACUUAAAAUUCAUAUGACGUUUAGCUAGAACUUGAUUAUCUUGGAAUCGGUAUCCUAACGAAGACUUAUACAUUAGUUCAUCUAUGUCAUAAGUUGACGGGUAAGCAAGCAUCAUAAGUUUAUCUUCAAGUUCAUUUUAAUUAUCAAUAUGUAACAGAGCAGAUUCAGAUUUCUAACAGACGAGAAAAGGAAAUCAAACAAAAUCAUACGCUAAUAUCGAACCAGUCAUAUAUCAAGUUAUCCAUAAACCGGAAGGACCUAACCUUUGCUAACAGAAACAAAUGCAGCAGUAUUUUACAUUAAAGCAACAUUCCUAUUUUAGUAACAUCUUAUAGGAAUAUUCUAUGAUUUAACGAGACUCGACCCCCUAUACGAAUAGUCAAAGACAUGUUCGCACUUCCUUAAAGUCUCUCCAAAAUGAGCAAAAUAUACGUUAAUACUUGAGAAAGAUCUGUCAGCAUCCAUUUCAUUACGAGCUAUUUCAAACCAAACUUAACUCAUUAUAAAAUCCUUCCUAAAAUCAUAGAAUCUAACAGAGAAGUAUGCAAAAGGAAAUGGGUAUUUUCAUGUGAGCAUUUUAUCAAAUACUAGUGGGGCAUGCUUCUAACAAUACACAUAAGAACACAAUCUCCUUUAGAAUUAUUGCUAACAACUUCGGUCAUAGAAUCAUUCCCUUAAACAAACACAAAUUAGAGCCAUUUUUAUAGCAUCAAACAUAAAGGCUUAAUAGGAACUAACCCUCAAAGCAAACACGCACCAGGCAUGGAACGUACUGUAAUUACAAUCAAGACGAGAGCGAGAGGAGAAGAUACAGACCUUUUGCAGGGUAGCGAACUGAGGCGGGUCUUAACGCGCUAUCGAACUUCGAUCUCGACUUUACUCCUCCCUCUCGAACAAAAGCAGACUCGACUAAAUAAAUAGAGGAUAACCAAAUUUCUGCUAUGGUAAAUACCAAAUAGAAACAGUAGAGGUGUUGAAGUUAAAGCUUUUCUUUUGGAGAUAGCUAAUAGGCAAAGAGUGAAUUUUAGAGAGGAGAAGAGCGGUCAAAAAUUUGGUUUCGAAGGGUGAAGGCAGCGGCUCCCUCCCUUCUGUCAAUGGCCUCAAAACACCACUAUUUAUAAUGAAAAAUCUAGGGCUUAAUUCCUUGGUGGGAUUUGAAAUUCAAACGGCCAUAAGAGCCGUUAUGAAAAUCAAACAAAAGCUCUGAGAAAUCAGUUCUUCAGAAUUGGAGAAUCAAAAUUUCAGAAGUCUUUUGGCUUUAUCUGUUGACUGACCCGUUGAAGAAGAGAGAGAGAGGAGCGUUUUUGGAGAGAUUGAGUAGCAACAGACUCUGUUAAAAGUACGUUUUGCACAAAAAUGGAGUAAACAAAAUCUGUCCAUGGCUGAGGUUCCAUGGAAUUUAGACUAGAAGAGGAAAAGGGGGGAAGAAGACAACUGGGAGAUUAGGAAAAAUGUGAUAUCGUUAGACGCUAAGCGACAGCAUUUUAGUAGGAGUUCCAGAGGGUUCUACUGUUUGGGCUAAAGUGGAAGAUUUCGUUUGGGCCUGAUUUGGUUGGCUGAGUCCUGGGCUAGCUGAUGGACGAAUUUUGGACUUAAAAUGGUCUU